This 805-nucleotide ribosomal RNA is filed under the name Klebsiella pneumoniae. RNAcentral describes it as "partial 16S ribosomal RNA". It matches the Rfam family "Bacterial small subunit ribosomal RNA", at positions 69 to 866 of the family's 1533-position model. Lineage: Bacteria; Pseudomonadati; Pseudomonadota; Gammaproteobacteria; Enterobacterales; Enterobacteriaceae. The record is from RNAcentral.
GUAGCCUGAGUGCUUGUUCUCUCGUGACGAGCGGGGGACGGGUGAGUAAUGUCUGGGAAACUGCCUGAGGGAGGGGGAUAUCUACUGGGAACGGUAGCUAAUACCGCAUAACGUCGCAAGACCAAAGUGGGGGACCUUCNGGCCUCCUUUCCUCAGAUGUGCCCACAUGGGAUUAUCUAGUAGGUGGGGGAACGGCUCUCCUACGCGACAAUCCCUCGCUGGUCUGAGAGGAUGACCACCCACACUGGAACUGAGACACGGUCCAAACACCCCAAGGAGGGGGCAGUGGGGAAUAUUGCGCAAUGGGCGCAAGCCCGAUGCACCCCUGUCCCGUGUGUGAGGAAGGCCUUCUGGUUGUAAAGAACUUUUUUCGGGGAGGAAGGGGGUGAGGUUAAUAACCUUGCCGAUUGAGGUUUCCCGCACAAAAAGCACCGGCUAACUCCCUGCCAGCAGCCGCGGGAAUACGGAGGGGGCAAGCGUUUAUCGGAAUUUCUGGGCGUAAAGCGCACGCANGCGGGCUGUCAAGUCUGAUGUGAAAUCCCCGGGCUCAACCUGGGAACUGCAUUCUAAACUGGGAGGCUAUAGUCUUGUAUAGGGGGGUAGAAUUCCAGGUGUANCGCUGAAAUGUGUAUAGAUAUGUAGGANUAUAGNUGGCGCANGCGGCCCCCUNNACNCANACNGACACUCACGUGCGANAGCGUGNGGAGCANACACGAUNANAUACCCUGNUAGUCCACGCCGCANACNACGUCUACUUGCAUGCUGUGUCCUUGAGGCGUGUCUUCCGCAGCUAACUCGUUAAUCU